RNAcentral lists this unclassified non-coding RNA (233 nucleotides) under plant metagenome. Its description in RNAcentral is "partial contains small subunit ribosomal RNA, internal transcribed spacer 1, and 5.8S ribosomal RNA". The record is from RNAcentral.
UUUCCGUAGGUGAACCUGCGGAAGGAUCAUUAUUGGAUUUUGAAACUUCAGGCUGCUGCUGGCUCUCCUCGGAGGGCAUGUGCACGCUUGUUGUCCAUUAUUUCUCCCUCUGUGCACAAAUUGUAGACCUUUCAGUAGGCCUAUGUUGUUUUUCACAAUCUCUGAAUGUAAUGGAAUGGUUUUGAAUCUUGGGAAAUACAAUACAACUUUCAGCAACGGAUCUCUUGGCUCUC